RNAcentral lists this transfer RNA (73 nucleotides) under Capsicum annuum. It matches the Rfam family "tRNA". From Rfam's summary of the family: Transfer RNA (tRNA) molecules are approximately 80 nucleotides in length. The record is from Rfam by way of RNAcentral. Lineage: Eukaryota; Viridiplantae; Streptophyta; Magnoliopsida; Solanales; Solanaceae.
GCGCUCUUAGUUAGUUCGGUAGGACGUGGGUCUCCAAAACCCGAUGUCGUAGGUUCAAAUCCUACAGAGCUCC